RNAcentral lists this ribosomal RNA (358 nucleotides) under Klebsiella aerogenes. Its description in RNAcentral is "partial 23S ribosomal RNA". It matches the Rfam family "Bacterial large subunit ribosomal RNA", at positions 167 to 563 of the family's 2925-position model. RNAcentral also lists the same sequence under 6 other names. The record is from RNAcentral. Lineage: Bacteria; Pseudomonadati; Pseudomonadota; Gammaproteobacteria; Enterobacterales; Enterobacteriaceae.
UAGGUUAACGAGGCGAACCGGGGGAACUGAAACAUCUAAGUACCCCGAGGAAAAGAAAUCAACCGAGAUUCCCCCAGUAGCGGCGAGCGAACGGGGAGCAGCCCAGAGUCUGAAUCAGCUUGUGUGUUAGUGGAACGGUCUGGAAAGUCCGACGGUACAGGGUGAUAGUCCCGUACACCAAAAUGCACAGGUUGUGAACUCGAAGAGUAGGGCGGGACACGUGGUAUCCUGUCUGAAUAUGGGGGGACCAUCCUCCAAGGCUAAAUACUCCUGACUGACCGAUAGUGAACCAGUACCGUGAGGGAAAGGCGAAAAGAACCCCGGCGAGGGGAGUGAAAAAGAACCUGAAACCGUGUAC